ACACUUGAAAAAACCGCACCUUGCAAGUGCAGCCAAAUUUUCUAGCUUAAAGCACUCUUAUUGUCCCAGAAUCAUCUUUACUCUUACUAUAUACAUGUGUGUCUUCUCUUCUAUUUCCAACUUCCAAGAGAGACCUAUAGUUUGUAACAGCAAUUUGUCAUGCCUAUUUGCAUUCGUCAAUUCGCUUUCCUUGCCUUCUUUUGCCUUACUCUUCUCCUCUUUUCUGCUCCGGAGGUUAGUAAUGCUGCAGCAAUCUGUGGGAGGCCUAGUGGAACAUGGAAAGGGCCUUGUAUAAUCUCUAGCAUAUGCAAUAAUCAGUGCAAAGAGAGGGAGAACGCACAGGGAGGAUCCUGCUGGGUUUUAGCUUGUUACUGUCAAUUUUUCUGUGACGGGAACUGAAACAUUCCACCAUCACUAUAUCCAUUGUGCGCUCUGAAAUCUGAAUAAUACAUUAAACACUGAAAUGAUCAGUAUCAGUCACAGAUACUACAGUUAUUCUUGUACAUCAUUGCAAUGCGUCGAAGCCAUGUGUAUGUUUGGGUUAAAGUUUGUAAGAUUGGUCGUAAUGUUUUGAAGCUAUGUGUAUGUUUGAGUUAACAUUUGUACAAAUUGAUUGUGAUGUUUCAAAUUAAAUUGAGUUAACAUUUGUAAAA
Molecule: long non-coding RNA, 653 nt
Organism: Glycine soja
Lineage: Eukaryota; Viridiplantae; Streptophyta; Magnoliopsida; Fabales; Fabaceae
Exons: 2
Source: RefSeq, a predicted model, not a curated record